GCUUGUCUCAAAGAUUAAGCCAUGCAUGUCUAAGUAUAAGCACCCUUAUACUGCGAAACUGCGUACAGCUCAUUAUAUCAGCAAUUAUUUAUUUGAAGGUCACCUAUUACAUGGAUAACCGUGGUAAUUCUAGAGCUAAUACAUGCGAAAAGUCGGCGCAAGUCGAUGUAUUUAUUAGAUACAGAAUCAAUACGUGUUCUGCACGUUCUAUUGAUGAAUCAUAAUAACUGUUCGAAUCGCACGGGCAACCGGCGAUAGUUCAUUCAAAUUUCUUCCCUAUCAACUUUCGAUGUUUGGGUAUUGGCCAAACAUGGUUGCAACGGGUAACGGAGGGUUAGGGCUCGACCCCGGAGAAGGAGCCUGAGAAACGGCUACUACAUCCAAGGAAGGCAGCAGG
RNAcentral lists this ribosomal RNA (397 nucleotides) under uncultured eukaryote. RNAcentral describes it as "partial small subunit ribosomal RNA". It matches the Rfam family "Eukaryotic small subunit ribosomal RNA", at positions 30 to 432 of the family's 1831-position model. The record is from RNAcentral.